RNAcentral lists this ribosomal RNA (440 nucleotides) under uncultured bacterium. RNAcentral's name for it is "partial 16S ribosomal RNA". It matches the Rfam family "Bacterial small subunit ribosomal RNA", at positions 338 to 795 of the family's 1533-position model. The record is from RNAcentral.
CCUACGGGUGGCAGCAGUAGGGAAUCUUCCUCAAUGGGGGAAACCCUGAAGCAGCAACGCCGCGUGGAUGAUGAAGGUUUUCGGAUUGUAAACUCCUGUUGUUAGAGAAGAUAAUGACGGUAUCUAACGAAUCAGCACUCGCUAACUACGUGCCAGCAGCCGCGGUAAUACUGAGUGUGCAAGCGUUACUCGGAAUCACUGUGCGUAAAGAGCUCGGAGGCGGGCUAGCAAGUCAGAUGUGAAAUCCUAUGGCUUAACCAUAGAACUGCAUUUGAAACUGUUAGUCUAGAGUAUGGGAGAGGUAGGUGGAAUUCUUGGUGUAGGGGUAAAAUGCGUAGAGAUAAAGAGGAAUACUCAUUGCGAAGGCGACCUGCUAGAACAUAACUGACGCUGAUGCGCGAAAGCGUGGGGAGCAAACAGGAUUAGAUACCCCAGUAGUC